This 1164-nucleotide ribosomal RNA is filed under the name uncultured bacterium. Its description in RNAcentral is "bacterial SSU rRNA". It matches the Rfam family "Bacterial small subunit ribosomal RNA", at positions 224 to 1399 of the family's 1533-position model. The record is from RNAcentral.
GAUGGACCCGCGUCUGAUUAGUUAGUUGGUGGGGUAACGGCCUACCAAGACCGCGAUCAGUAGCCGACCUGAGAGGGUGACCGGCCACAUUGGGACUGAGACACGGUCCAGACACCUACGGGUGGCAGCAGUCGAGAAUCAUUCACAAUGGGGGAAACCCUGAUGGUGCGACGCCGCGUGGGGGAAUGAAGGUCUUCGGAUUGUAAACCCCUGUCAUGUGGGAGCAAAUUAAAAAGAUAGUACCACAAGAGGAAGAGACGGCUAACUCUGUGCCAGCAGCCGCGGUAAUACAGAGGUCUCAAGCGUUGUUCGGAAUCACUGGGCGUAAAGCGUGCGUAGGCUGUUUCGUAAGUCGUGUGUGAAAGGCGCGGGCUCAACCCGCGGACGGCACAUGAUACUGCGAGACUAGAGUAAUGGAGGGGGAACCGGAAUUCUCGGUGUAGCAGUGAAAUGCGUAGAUAUCGAGAGGAACACUCGUGGCGAAGGCGGGUUCCUGGACAUUAACUGACGCUGAGGCACGAAGGCCAGGGGAGCGAAAGGGAUUAGAUACCCCUGUAGUCCUGGCAGUAAACGGUGCACGCUUGGUGUGCGGGGAAUCGACCCCCUGCGUGCCGGAGCUAACGCGUUAAGCGUGCCGCCUGGGGAGUACGGUCGCAAGAUUAAAACUCAAAGAAAUUGACGGGGACCCGCACAAGCGGUGGAGUAUGUGGCUUAAUUCGAUGCAACGCGAAGAACCUUACCUGGGCUUGACAUGUAAUGAACAACAUGUGAAAGCAUGCGACUCUUCGGAGGCGUUACACAGGUGCUGCAUGGCCGUCGUCAGCUCGUGUCGUGAGAUGUUUGGUUAAGUCCAGCAACGAGCGCAACCCCUGUUGCCAGUUACCAGCACGUGAAGGUGGGGACUCUGGCGAGACUGCCCAGAUCAACUGGGAGGAAGGUGGGGACGACGUCAGGUCAGUAUGGCCCUUAUGCCCAGGGCUGCACACGUACUACAAUGCCCAGUACAGAGGGGGCCGAAGCCGCGAGGCGGAGGAAAUCCUAAAAACUGGGCCCAGUUCGGACUGUAGGCUGCAACCCGCCUACACGAAGCCGGAAUCGCUAGUAAUGGCGCAUCAGCUACGGCGCCGUGAAUACGUUCCCGGGUCUUGUACUCACCGCCCGUCA